GUUGUUUAGGGCCUUGGUUUGGGCCCUACGUCUCUUUAGUGUCUAUGGUCUGUUUAUUAUUCACUCAGGUUGUGUGUAGUUUUUCUUACUCCAUGGGUCUCCAGACUUGCUUGUGACCUGAAGACUGAGUUCUUAGCUAAACUCCAGACUUGUCCCAUGUUCUGGAAGCUGUGUUAUUACCUGGCCUUGUGCCUGAAUGCAGAUGGUGCCCCUGGGCCUGUUCUGUUUACCCUGUGUGUGUACAGUGGGGCUGGGUGCUGGCUGGUGGGGUCCUUGUCCUGCUGGCUGUUGUGUGAGGCUCCCUGUCUCGCAGAGAGCAGCUGCAGCUGCCACAUGUUCACCACAGACUCAAACUUUGCCAGAGCUGCCUGCAAUGCAGAGCUGCUUACAGUGAUCCCUGACACUCCACUUGAGCACACAGAACAGCUUCGCUGCAGCACCUGUCACAGUACCAGGAUCUCUGUUUUGAAUGGCUGAGUACCUUACUGCUGCCAGAGAAGAUUGUGAUCUGGUGCUGCUUGCUGCCCAGGAUGGAAGACCUGAGACCAUGAGCACAUUAAGUCUGUGGGUGUGAAAAUUAAUAAUUGUUAGUUCUUGUUUGCUUCCUAGCCUUUAGCAUGUCUUUAUUGGAGCUGUGGUUGUGCAUGUUGAUGUUUGGGUGCUCCUGUUAACCUGCUUAUUCUAAAUAAACCUUAGCCCUCUUUGUUUGUUGCUUUC
Parus major (Great Tit) is the source of this 717-nucleotide long non-coding RNA. RefSeq lists it as uncharacterized. Lineage: Eukaryota; Metazoa; Chordata; Aves; Passeriformes; Paridae. The record is from RefSeq and is a predicted model, not a curated record. The transcript is spliced from 3 exons.